Molecule: non-coding RNA, 2021 nt
Organism: Dermacentor albipictus
Lineage: Eukaryota; Metazoa; Arthropoda; Arachnida; Ixodida; Ixodidae
Source: RefSeq, a predicted model, not a curated record
UCAUUCCGCCGGGAGAGAAGCGAGCACCAUGCGAGUGCUGGCCUCUAGGAUGAAACUUGGCCUGCGAAAAAGGCGCGAAGGCGAGCGUUUCGCGCGUUUAUUGUGAGUGCGGAGGCGCCAUUUUCAGUUGUCACUACGGCUGCGCAAGGUGGUCAAGACUGUUGUUUCUUUCUCCUGAGCUCCUGGCCGGGUUGGCCCCGCAGUAAAGAUUCUGAGUGACAAAAGGGUGUGAAAUAGAAGGCAUCAAGGCAUCAGUGGGCAUUUUGUCUUCACUGAGUACUUCAAUGAGUGAAGGGCAGCCAGUCCACUGCAGUCUUUCUUUCUCGCAAGUCAUGGCUGCAUGCUUCUGAACGGCCUUUUUUGUGUGUAUCGAUCUUAAUAGAUUUGCUGUUGACAUGUCUCCUUUCUUGUAGUCCUCUCACUAUAUUUCUAUUAUUUUGUAAUCGAUUCCAUUGCAGUAUUUUUGUCAGUCUUAUGCGGCUACUUCCGUUGCAGUUUGUGUUACCACUAAAGAAAGCUGAACUAGCUGGUAAAUGUUCACACUUUUGCAUACAGCACAACAUGCAUAAAUGCACAGUACCACUUGUGUGUACUUCCUGUUGUCCAUUGUCAUGUUACGUGGUAUUGUAGGAACCAUGCUAAAGUGUAAGCUUACUACUAUCUCAAUUCAAGUGAUGGCUAAGUUCUAGUGUGUUGCAAGGUGAGGCUACGAAACAGUUUGAUUACAUUUUAUUAUGCCUCUUUUGUGUUACGAUGUGGCCGUGAGUCGGAAAGGCUGCACUAUAUUGAGCAGUACUGCAUGAGGACUCCAGUUUCAGUAUAUAUCAACCGUUCCGUUCAUUGCUAUUUACUUCUUUUCCUCAGGAAGAGGUGGCAGGGCUACUAGCAUGUAGCAAGUCAAUGCUACACAUAUUUCACAUUUAACCAUUCUGUGUCACUUCCAGAUUUAUGUUUAUUUGUUACAAACAAUAAUUUCCUUGAUAGUUAUUUCACUGUGAAGUAUUUAUCAUUUAUGCUGGUCUUUGCUGGCGGCAAAAAGUCUGCUCUCUUCUAGUCGUUUUACUUUUAUGCGUAGGGUUGUAUUUGUUUUCUUGCUGUCAGCCCAGAGUUUUUAUCUAGUACAUAGCGAGAAUCGCUGUUUCAGUUCUUAUUUGCAUUUUGUUUUACUGUGACUUACUUUUUCGAGAAGAAACAGUAUUUUAUUUGUAGUGCAUUGCAAGUUUGUCACAUUUCAGCUACUGUUUGCAUAGUUUUGUUCAUAUGCAUGUGUAAACCAAGGAGGGAUCAUUUGCCGUUUCCAAGGUAUUGCUAGAAUAUGAAAAAAAAAGGCGCAGUCCAUAUAAUUUAUGUCUCAGCUGUGUGAUAUUUUAGGUGUGAGGAUUGCUAGUACCUUUAUGUUCCUUGUAUACUCAUUACUGAAUGUAGUGAAACGCGAUAGCGUACUGAUCGCCAACUUUUUUUUCGGGGAUAGGAGCCUCACCUCAAGACUCAUUCACGCUAAUGAAACAGUGAAUGCCUGCGCUCUGUUGCUGUCUCGUAUACCAUGUGGCAUUCUGAGCUUUUUUCUCAUGCUCCCUGAUGUCAAGGUGAAGAAUAAUCGUACUAUAGUGAAAGAAGUGUACCAUGCUUUUGAAGUACCCUGAGUGCUACACCUGGCCCUGCCCACCUCAAUUGAUGUUUCUAAAGAUAUACUACCGAUAGUGGUGCUUAGUAAACACUCUUAUAUUAUGUGAUCACAUCUCACUCUUGUAGCCCUUGGGGGCUGGAAAUUUUAAUGUACUGCUGUAAAAGCUGUCACCUGCAGACUUUGUCUUAGUUUGUGCUAAUAAGUUGUUGGCUUUUAUUAUAAUGCAGGACUGUCACAAAUUCUUUCUCUGAAUGUUACAGGUUUGCAGUAUAUCAAUUGUCUCGUGACCAGUUCUGUGUUUGAGUACUUGUAACACUUGCAUCACUAUACCGGCUCUCCAUGUAUUAAAUCGAGUUUUUGUAAUGGAAAUGAAUAAAAAUUUCUGUGAAAGUGA